RNAcentral lists this ribosomal RNA (594 nucleotides) under uncultured Actinomycetes bacterium. RNAcentral's name for it is "bacterial SSU rRNA". It matches the Rfam family "Bacterial small subunit ribosomal RNA", at positions 862 to 1460 of the family's 1533-position model. The record is from RNAcentral. Lineage: Bacteria; Bacillati; Actinomycetota; Actinomycetes.
AAGCGCCCCGCCUGGGGAGUACGAUCGCAAGAUUAAAACUCAAAGGAAUUGACGGGGCCCCGCACAAGCAGCGGAGCAUGCGGCUUAAUUCGACGCAACGCGAAGAACCUUACCAAGGCUUGACAUAUACAGGAAUACGGCAGAGAUGUCGUAGCCGCAAGGUCUGUAUACAGGUGGUGCAUGGUUGUCGUCAGCUCGUGUCGUGAGAUGUUGGGUUAAGUCCCGCAACGAGCGCAACCCUCGUUCUGUGUUGCCAGCAUUUAGUUGAGGACUCACAGGAGACUGCCGGGGUUAACUCGGAGGAAGGUGGGGAUGACGUCAAAUCAUCAUGCCCCUUAUGUCUUGGGCUGCACGCAUGCUACAAUGGCUGGUACAAACGGCUGCAAUACCGCAAGGUGGAGCGAAUCCGAGAAAGCCAGUCUCAGUUCGGAUUGGGGUCUGCAACUCGACCCCAUGAAGUCGGAGUUGCUAGUAAUCGUAGAUCAGCAACGCUACGGUGAAUACGUUCCCGGGGCUUGUACACACCGCCCGUCACAUCACGAAAGUCGGUAACACCCAAAGUCAGUGCCCAACCGUAAGGAGGGAGCUGCCAAA